Molecule: ribosomal RNA, 463 nt
Filed under: uncultured bacterium
Lineage: Bacteria
Description: partial 16S ribosomal RNA
Rfam family: Bacterial small subunit ribosomal RNA
Source: RNAcentral
ACGCUGGCGGCGUGCUUAACACAUGCCAGUCGAACGGAAAGGCCCUGCUUUUGUGGGGUGCUCGAGUGGCGAACGGGUGAGUAACACGUGAGUAACCUGCCCUUGACUUUGGGAUAACUUCAGGAAACUGGGGCUAAUACCGGAUAGGAGCUCCUGCUGCAUGGUGGGGGUUGGAAAGUUUCGGCGGUUGGGGAUGGACUCGCGGCUUAUCAGCUUGUUGGUGGGGUAGUGGCUUACCAAGGCUUUGACGGGUAGCCGGCCUGAGAGGGUGACCGGCCACAUUGGGACUGAGAUACGGCCCAGACUCCUACGGGAGGCAGCAGUGGGGAAUAUUGCACAAUGGGCGGAAGCCUGAUGCAGCAACGCCGCGUGCGGGAUGACGGCCUUCGGGUUGUAAACCGCUUUCGCCUGUGACGAAGCGUGAGUGACGGUAAUGGGUAAAGAAGCACCGGCUAACUACGUG